Molecule: long non-coding RNA, 2544 nt
Filed under: Podarcis muralis (Common wall lizard)
Lineage: Eukaryota; Metazoa; Chordata; Lepidosauria; Squamata; Lacertidae
Description: lncRNA (ENSPMRG00000012762.1)
Source: RNAcentral
GGAGGGGGAGAUAGGAAACCAGUCUUUGGGGAGACUUAUCCAUAGUGGCUCCCGUGGGGAAUCUCCGGAGCCUUGGCUUCUCCCUCCCACCCAGGAAUCGGCCACCCCUUCAAGGCAGCCAGAGGGAUCCCUGGAAAGUGGGGGGUCGUGUCCCCCCACCCCUUCCUUCCUGCAACCUCUAUCCUCUUUACACCCCAUAAGCCGCUGACCUGUCCAGACUGUUGCAGGAAUCUAUGUAUAGGUUGGGGGUGGUUGACCCUCCAGCAGAUAUCAUGCACAUGCAGCCCACCACCAAAAUCAGCACCAUCACUUUUGUGAUUUCUUCCCAGAAAACACUUCAUCAAAGUUUAUUCCUAUCUAUUCAAAGGGCCUUUGCUGCACAAUACCAAAUGUAAGAAGUCACUGAUAAAUGUCUCUAUGUACUGGCUCGCUGGGGAAACUUCAGAAAUUCAUAUGGACAUGUGAGCUCAGCUACUCAGCAGCCCCUCUGCCUGAGGGAUAAUCCCUGGCAUCCUGAUACCUGAGUGCCGAACAGGUAGCCAUUCCAGAAAGAACCAACCCAGAUGAAGACAAAAGGGUGGGAUUAACUUGGCUGGGAAACAGGUCAGGGAGGACAAUGGGUGGCCGGCCGGGGGCAGAUCAAAGGCCAAAGAAAAGAGGCCGACCCCUUUGUCCAAGCCCCUUUUGGUUUUCUUCCUUCCAGGAUCAGGAUCCUCAGGAGCGUGUCCUGGCGGCCGGAUUAAGGCAGUGUCAGACUGACAGACAAGCUGAGAUACAAUCCAUCAAAAUUCAAUGACAGCGGCUGCGUGAAUCUUCCCAGUCAAAGGACCCAUUUUCAUGAUAGACAGCCCCCGUGGCUGGAGGCUCAACCCCCAGGGUGUGCCUAUACAGGCCAAAGACUGCCAGCAUUAGCACAGGUGAGGUGUGUGACCCCCCCCCCCAAUCGACAGGUUGUGUGUCAAUGAGAGUUUGUGGGUGGGAUUAUCGUUUACGACAACUCUGUUGCUCCCACAAGGGAGCACCCAGGGGUCAGAACACUCCUCUCCCAAGACCACUUUCUGAACAAGGCCCAGGAGGAAGGAGGGGAACCACUGCAGAGCAGGGUCCCCAGCUCCCCUAGAGGGUCCAGAAGGAUACCAUGGCCAAAGGUCUCCAAAGCCACUGAGAGAUCCAGCAGAACCAGGAAACAGUUUUCCCCUUGGACUCUAGCACAUCGGAGAUCAUCAUCCAGCGCAACCAGGGCAAUUUCAGUCCCAUGAUGAGGCCUGAAUCCCCAUUGGAAGGAUAAUGGUGGAAGAAGCUUUCCUGCUGUUCCAGGUACCCCCCUCCCCAGUCAUUUCAGUUUGUACUUACACGACACACACAACAUAGACGACGUUUUUCUUAUAAAUUUAUAGUAAAUCAACUGUACAUCAGAUUUACCGUAUUUCCCCCUCUAUAACACACAGAUUUUUUCUCCUAAAAAAGUAAGGGGAAAUGUCCAUGCGUGUUAUUGAGCGAAUGUGUGGUCCCUGGAGCCGACUGGCCCGAGUGCAUCACACAUUUUCUUCGAGGGUCGUCUUCGUUGUGGUCAGCAGAAGCCAGGGAAGUGCUUGCUAGGAGGUUUGGCCACUCUGCAGCGCGACUGUGUGUUUGCUAGUGUGUGUGCUUUGUGAGUGUGUGGUUGCCUGUGUUUGUUCGCUAGCGUGGGUGCUUGGAGGGAGUGAGAGAGUGACGGACUGCUGCAUCUUCUCCUGCAAUUUGCCUUUUAAAAAAUUGGCAGCAGCGGGGCAGUAAAAACCACCUCCGAAAGCCCCAUUUUCUUUUCUUUUUUUAAUUAAAUUUUUAUUGAAGUUUUAACAUAUCAACACAACACAAUAACAACACAAUAACAAAAAGAAAAAAGAAAAAGAAAAAUGACAGACUAAGAAAUACAAGAAAUAAAACACGUAUAACUUCAAUUUUUACUUUCUUUUAGCUUGCUUUCACGACUUCCCUCAUACCUUCCCUUUCUGUAUUCUAAUUUCUAAUUCAAUUGUCAGCAAAUCCUUCCCCUACUUUUAAAUUAGUUUUAAUAACAAUUAUUUUCUUCAGAUUAUCCCUUGCCGCUUUUAACCCCUUAAUUUCCAAUCCAGCAUUUUUCUAACCUUCAUUAAUUUUACAAUAUUUCUUUAAAUACUCUUUAAAUUUUUUCCAAUCUUCCUGCGCCGUAUCUCUUCCCUGGUCACGGAUUCUGCUCGUCAUUUCCGCCAGUCCCAUGUAGUCUAUCACCUUCAGUUGCCAUUCUUCCACGGUGGGUAGUUCUUGCGUCUUCCAGUACUUUGCGAUGAGUAUUCUUGCUGCUGUUGUGGCAUACAUAAAAAAUGUUCUAUCCUUCUUUGACACCAAUUGGCCAACUAUGCCCAGGAGGAAGGCCGAAAGCCCCAUUUUCCCCUCCUAAGGCUGCAGCUCGGCUUUGGGAGCCCUGAACCCCUGCCUUGUUCUUGAGGGAUCUUUGAGGUUUUCCCUUUAGCUUUAACCCAGCCCCUUAUUUUACCAGUUUAUCUUCAUUCUCGGUGCGGUAAA